UUAACUCCUUCUUACAUCUUUGAGGAAGAUGUCAAGCAUUUUCAUUCGGUACAAAAAACUGCUUGUGACAAAUUUGAUCCAUCCUUCUAUCCUCGAUUUAAAAAAUGGUGUGAUGACUACUUCUACAUCAAGCACCGAGGCGAAAGACGAGGACUUGGAGGAAUAUUUUUUGAUGAUCUAAAUGACUACGAUCAGGAGAUGCUUCUAUCAUUUGCCACCGAGUGUGCCAAUUCUG
Molecule: non-coding RNA, 235 nt
Organism: Cucurbita pepo subsp. pepo (vegetable marrow)
Lineage: Eukaryota; Viridiplantae; Streptophyta; Magnoliopsida; Cucurbitales; Cucurbitaceae
Source: RefSeq, a predicted model, not a curated record